AGUGAACGCUGGCGGUAGGCCUAACACAUGCGAGUCGAACGGCAGCACAGUAAGAGCUUGCUCUUACGGGUGGCGAGUGGCGGACGGGUGAGGAAUACAUCGGAAUCUACUUUUUCGUGGGGGAUAACGUAGGGAAACUUACGCUAAUACCGCAUACGACCUACGGGUGAAAGCAGGGGAUCUUCGGACCUUGCGCGAUUGAAUGAGCCGAUGUCGGAUUAGCUAGUUGGCGGGGUAAAGGCCCACCAAGGCGACGAUCCGUAGCUGGUCUGAGAGGAUGAUCAGCCACACUGGAACUGAGACACGGUCCAGACUCCUACGGGAGGCGGCAGUGGGGAAUAUUGGACAAUGGGCGCAAGCCUGAUCCAGCCAUACCGCGUGGGUGAAGAAGGCCUUCGGGUUGUAGAGCCCUUUUGUUGGGAAAGAAAAGCAGCAGGUUAAUACCCCGCUGUUCUGACGGUACCCAAAGAAUAAGCACCGGCUAACUUCGUG
Molecule: ribosomal RNA, 492 nt
Filed under: uncultured bacterium
Lineage: Bacteria
Description: partial 16S ribosomal RNA
Rfam family: Bacterial small subunit ribosomal RNA
Source: RNAcentral